This 5172-nucleotide long non-coding RNA is filed under the name Homo sapiens (human). RNAcentral's name for it is "novel transcript, antisense to OBSCN". Lineage: Eukaryota; Metazoa; Chordata; Mammalia; Primates; Hominidae. The record is from RNAcentral.
ACUCCUCCUCGAUGCCCCGCCCUUCCCGCCCGCGGCUCACUCUCCACGGUGAGUUUGGCCUGUGUCUUGUCAUCCGGCGUCUCGCAGCCAAAGAAGCCACGGUCGGCAAAACCUACGUUGUGCAGAACCAGGCGGUGGCGGGCGCCCUCGGCGUGGAUCUCCACGUUCUUUCCCGGCGCCAGGGCCGUCGCGUUCCGUGUCCACCUCAGCUCCGGCCACGGCCGCGUCAGCUCCACCUCCAGGGUCACCGAGCUCCGCUCCUCCACCGUCUGCGGCUCCAGCUUCUUUUUGAACAGCACAGGCGCCUCUGGGGUCGCAGGAGAGGGGAGGUCACGGCGGCCCUCGCCCUCCUCCACGGACAAGCCAAGGUACAGAGGGCCCGCACAGCCCCGGCGCCUGCCCUGAGCCGGGCCCAGGCAGAGCUGCCGGCACCGCGCCCCGGGAUCCCAAUCCAAACAGCGCGGCCCUGGCCACACGCGGGCCGCAGCUGCGCACCCUCCCGGGUGCGACUUUAAGCGAGGAAACCAGGAAGCUUCCUUAAGCCCCGCUCCCACCUCCAGCUCCCCUGCUCUGAACAAGACGCCAGGCCCUUGUGCCUCGAAAUCCUAGACGUGAUCCCCACUAGUAGCACUGGCAGGAACUGCAGAGGGGGGAAGACAGAGCUUCCCCAGGCGCAACGGCGGUUUAGCAAAGCCCAGGACUCCUGCGCAGGUUAAGGAAGAGGCGCUGGCGGGCCUCUCUGCCUCAGGCCACCCGUCAACUCCGCAGAAGGUGAAUCUGCUGCAUCACUCCCUUACUCUAGAACCUGCCAUGACUCCCACUUCCCUUCAGGGCAAGUUCUGGCUUCUGGCUUCAGCAGCAUGGGAAGCCCAUGUCACUGCUUGCACUGGUGCUAACCCCACUCUCUCUUCCCUGCCAUCCAUCAGGCUAAGUAUGCACCCACCUACUCCAGAAAGCCUCCCUGGAUUGCCUCAGCCUCCCCCCAUUCCCCACCAGGUGCAACUGCAGGAUUGUAUCUUCUCUAUACCAAGAGAAGGCACCUGGCCCAUCCAGCCUACCGGAGUCUCCUCUCUGCAGCCCACACACCCCGUGUCUCCUGAGGUCAGCCGGACCAGCCGUAACAGGACAGCAGUUCCAGGUGCCCACUCAGAACCAGCCCACAGGGGAGGUGCCUGUGCAAGGAGCCCUGGCCAGCCAGGCAAAUCCUGCUGCCCCCCACACUCACCUCGGACCCUCAGGGCAGCAGAGGAUGAGGCGCCCUCAGCCUCCACGGUGAUCUGGCCCGCGUCCUCCAGCACCAGGUCUGAGAUGGUCAGGCUGUGGCUGGCGCCACUCUGUGAUAUGGCAAACUUCUCGCUGGGCUGAAGCAGGGCACCGUCCCGGAACCACACGACUGCCACAUCACUGGGGGACACCACGCACUGGAAGGUGGCCUCGCCGCCCUCCUCUGCGACCACGGUGCUCAGCCCAGACAUAAACUUCACCACUCGGGGCACUGCAGACAGGAGCACUGCUUAAGAGGCGGGCGCACAGGACUGGCAGAGCCCUUACGCUGCAGGAGUACCAAAGGCCGCCUCCUCCAGGAGGCUGCCCUGGAUAGGGACACUCGACCCCUUACAUACCACUGACGGUGAGCUGCGCACUGGUGUGGUCAUCACGGCUCUCACACACGUACUCCCCUGCGUCCUCUGCGCGCAGCCCCAACACAGUGAGUGAGCGCACGGGCCCCUCGGCCACCAUCUGGAAGCGCUUGCCCACCCGAAGCUGCGUGUUGCCGCAGCGCCACACCACCUCUGCACACGCUGGGCUUAGCUCGCAGGCCAGUGUCACCGUGCCACCCAGCUCGCCGCACACAGGCUCCAGCAGCCGGCAGAACUUGGCGGCCACCUCUGUGGGCACAAAGGGGACAUCAGCCGGGCUCUUAACAGACCAGACUUGAGCCCCAGCUUCGCCCCUGUCCAGCUCUGGGACAGAGGUGUCUGGAGGAGUCCCCGCCCCACGCCCCAUGCCCGGCUCACCUUCCACCUGCACUGGGAAGUCCUGCCCCUCUGCGCCCACACGGCAGCUGUAGAUGGCGCUGUCCAGAACCUGGGCGCCAUGCACGGUCAGGGUGUGGGUGUCCCCCUGGCUGGCUGUCUCAUGCCGCUUGCUGCGGCGAAUCUCCACACCAUCCUUGAGCCAGGUCACCGUGGCCGCAGAGGGUGUGGCCAGUGUGGCGGUCAGGAUGAUGUCUUCAUGCUCCUUGACCACCAGAGGCUCCCUGCGGCAGGGUCUCUCUGAAAUUUGGGGCUCCAGCUCUGGGUAGAGGGAGAGCCCUCACAUGGGGCCAGAUGAGGCCGUGCAGGGACUGCAGGAGUAUCCCCGAGGGAGGGACGUCUGGCUUACCGCCAUCUCAUGCAUUAGAUAGGACCAGAGUCCUGGACACCUCGGGACAUCGGUAGUUUGGAGAAGGUACUGGGAAAAUGUGACCCAGCAUGUCUGCACAGAAACACCACCCAACAUGGACAAGGAGGGCCCUGACCCUUCCGUUCACUCCCUUCCCCACUAAGCAGCCCAGCUCCACCACAGGCAUAAAAAUAGGAGGUGAGAGGAUGGGAGAAGUUGAGGGAUGGAGUCUAAUGGAAAGCCCACUGGGUCAGCAGUGGUUCUACUCCAGUCACAGCAGCAGCUACAAACAGGGCUCACUCAGCAUCCCCAAAGCACUGACCUGCCACCUGCAGGCGGAAGGAGAGCUGCUGACCCCCUGCCUCGCAGCUGUACUCCCCGGCCUCUGCCUGGCCCGCCUGCUGCACCACCAGCCUCCGUGUGCAGCCCACGGCCUCCACGCGCACUUUCGAGCUGGAACUCAGCUUCUUCCCAUCCUUGUACCACGUCACCUCUGUCUGGGCCUGGGCCACCUCGCAGCUCAGCGUGGCACUGGCCCCCGCCUCAGCCUGCACCUCCCUGUGUGCUGGCUGCUCCUUGGCAAACACCACCUUGGGCUCUGGGGAUGGACAAGGAGGGACACACGAGGUCAAAGAUACUGCCCAGGUCAGGAAGACCACCCUAGGGUAGGAGGGCCUAGACAAGAAAGUAGGAGAAACAGAACCUUCCCAAGCUUGGCACUGGCCAUGUAGCUGGGAGAAGCCCCACCACCUCCCAGCACAAGAAUCACAGUUUCUCCAUCCACUGUGCAGUGCCAUGGGCUAUUCCAGGCGGGGCAGUUGUGACAAACCCUCCGUGCACGAGCUCCUCCAGUGCAGGGACUGGGUUCCUAAUGCUUACACAGCUCCCUUCAAGGAUAUGCUAGGGUCUCCCCAUGGGACUGGGCAGGGCGUGUCCUCACUGCAGGGCCCCAGAGUACUGAGGCUUCCAGUCCUGCCACUGUCAGGAGGGUCAGCGUUGGCCUCUGCGGGGAAGGCCUGGGCUUUGUCAUGCAUUGCCUGGUGACAUGCAAGGUGGAGCCCUUUCCACCACUUCUGGCCAUUACGUCAGCUCUUCUGGGGUGUCGCUCUUCAGGCUUCUGUCCAAUUUUCAGUAGCCUUUUCUGUCUUUUCCUUCCUUAUUUUUAGGAACUCUUUAUAUAUUUUAAAUGCUAGCAAAUGAUAACUGUGUAUUUGUAAACAUCUUACCCAUGUCCUUGACCGGCCUUUUCGCUCUCAAAUGAUGUCUUGACAAAUUAAAGUUUUAGUUUUAAUGUAGUUAAAUAUACCAUUGUUCCACUGUUUAGUUUUAAGAAAUCUUUCCUUUCCCUGAAGUUUUUAGCAAUCUAUGUUAGCAUCUAGAGGCUUUAUGGUUUUACCUUUUAUACUCUGUGGCCUCUAACCUUCCUGGAACUCACUUUUCAGUGUGAAAUAAGUUACUAGUCUAAAUUUUUGUAAGGUUAAACAAUCAAAGAACUAUUUUUUUUUUAGAAGAUCAUCCUUUCUCCACUGCCUGUGCAGGUGUGAAGGUUAAAAAAAAAACACACAAAACACACACACACAAAAAAAACAAGAAGCAAUAAAAGGGAGAAUCCAUGUAUUUGGGUCUGAUCAUGAGCUCACGAUUCUGUCCCUUUGGUCUGACAACUGUCCUUGUGUUGUGCCUGGCUGUCUCCAUUCCUGCAGCUGAAUGUUCUUGAUAUCUGGUAGACAAAUGCUCACAAGUGGCUCUUCAAGAGUGUGUUACUCCACUUGGCCUUCAGAAUCUGCUUCUCAACGUUCACCUCCCCAAAGAGAAACAUUUGCUUGGGUUUUGACUGGGCAUUAACAUAUUUGAGUCUUCCAUGGGUUUCUAUUUAUUUAGGUCUUCUUACUGUCUGUCAAAAAUGUUUCACAAUGGCCAGGCACAGUGGCUCACACCUGUAAUCCCAGCACUUUGGGAGGCUGAGGUGGGAGGAUUGCUUGAGGUCAGGAGUUUGAGCCCAGCCUGGGCGAAAUAGUGAGACCCUGUCGCUACCAAAAAAAUUCCUUAAAAAAUUAGCUAGGCAUGGUGGUGCACGCCUGUAUUCUCAUCAAGUCAGGAGGCCGAGGUGGGAGGAUCUCUUGAGCCCAGGAGGUUGAGGCUGCAGUGAGCCAUGAUUGCACGACUGAACUCCACUCUGGGUGACAGAGUGAGAUCCUGACUCAACAACAAAAAUAUCUGACAAUUUUCCUCCACUGAGGUAUCAGACAUCUUUACUAUACUUGAUGCUUUUCACGCUCUUGUAAAUCUUUUAAAAUUUCAUUUUACAACUGUGUUGCUAGUGUGUGUGUGUAUGCGUAUAUACAUACAUACAUAUAUAUGUGUAUUCUGCAUGUUGAAUUUCUAUGUGAUGUUUCUCAACUCUCAUAUUAUUUGUUAUAACUUAUUAUUUAUCUUAUUAUUUAUCUAUCUUUUGGAUUUUCUGAAUUGAUACUCAUAUAAUCUGUGAAUCCCACUUAUGUUUUUCUCCAAGUGUUAUACCUUUUCUUUUCUUUUCCUCCUUUCUCUGCUGUACAGUGCUGAAUGGAAGUUGGGAUGGUUGGCUUCUACGUGCUGAUUCCUAUCUCAAAGGCAAAGCUUUCAAGGUUCUCUUUAAAUAUGCAGUUACCUGGUGUUUUCUGCAGUACCACUGACCAGAUUAAAGAACGAUACUUUAUAAUUUGUUAAGAAUUUCAUGGCAUGAAUUGAUGCUGAAUUUUAUCAAAUAUUACCUCUGAACUUUAAUAUUAAAUUUAAUCAAACAUUGUA